RNAcentral lists this transfer RNA (65 nucleotides) under Ampullaceana balthica. Its description in RNAcentral is "tRNA-Leu". Lineage: Eukaryota; Metazoa; Mollusca; Gastropoda; Lymnaeidae. The record is from RNAcentral.
AAAAGAGUGGCAGAUUUUACAAAUGCACAGAUUUUAAGCAUCUGUUAUACCUUUGGUCUCUUUUU